CGGGGUGAGUAACACGUGGAUAACCUACCUAUAAGACUGGGAUAACUUCGGGAAACCGGAGCUAAUACCGGAUAAUAUUUUGAACCGCAUGGUUCAAAAGUGAAAGACGGUCUUGCUGUCACUUAUAGAUGGAUCCGCGCUGCAUUAGCUAGUUGGUAAGGUAACGGCUUACCAAGGCAACGAUGCAUAGCCGACCUGAGAGGGUGAUCGGCCACACUGGAACUGAGACACGGUCCAGACUCCUACGGGAGGCAGCAGGC
Molecule: ribosomal RNA, 260 nt
Filed under: uncultured Staphylococcus sp.
Lineage: Bacteria; Bacillati; Bacillota; Bacilli; Caryophanales; Staphylococcaceae
Description: partial 16S ribosomal RNA
Rfam family: Bacterial small subunit ribosomal RNA
Source: RNAcentral